This 279-nucleotide signal recognition particle RNA is filed under the name Sciurus vulgaris (Eurasian red squirrel). Its description in RNAcentral is "Metazoan signal recognition particle RNA (ENSSVLG00005014963.1)". It matches the Rfam family "Metazoan signal recognition particle RNA". Rfam says of the family: The signal recognition particle (SRP) is a universally conserved ribonucleoprotein. The record is from Rfam by way of RNAcentral. Lineage: Eukaryota; Metazoa; Chordata; Mammalia; Rodentia; Sciuridae.
GCCGGGCGCGGUAGCGUGCGCCUGUAGUCCCAGCUACUCGGGAGGCUGAGGUGGGAGGAUCGCUUGAGUCCAGGAGUUCUGGGCUGUAGUGCGCUAGGCCGAUCGAGUGUCUGCACUAAGUUCGGCAUCAAUAUGGUGACCUCCCGGGAGCGGGGAGCCACCAGGUUGCCUAAGGAGGGGUGAACCGGCCCAGGUGGGAAACCGAGCAGGUCAAAUUAUGAAUUAUAAAUAUAUAAGAGAUUAACCCACUUAGGAAUCAGACAGGGCUUAGGGAAUCAA